Molecule: ribosomal RNA, 253 nt
Filed under: uncultured bacterium
Lineage: Bacteria
Description: partial 16S ribosomal RNA
Rfam family: Bacterial small subunit ribosomal RNA
Source: RNAcentral
UACAGAGGGUGCGAGCGUUGUUCGGAAUUAUUGGGCGUAAAGAGCUCGUAGGUGGCCUGUCGCGUUGUUCGUGAAAACUCACAGCUCAACUGUGGGCGUGCGGGCGAUACGGGCAGACUAGAGUUCGGUAGGGGAGUCUGGAAUUCCUGGUGUAGCGGUGAAAUGCGCAGAUAUCAGAAGGAACACCGGUGGCGAAGGCGGGACUCUGGGCCGAUACUGACGCUGAGGAGCGAAAGCCAGGGGAGCAAACGGG